RNAcentral lists this long non-coding RNA (1829 nucleotides) under Cucumis sativus (cucumber). RNAcentral's name for it is "long non-coding RNA (CSAT_LNC002769)". Lineage: Eukaryota; Viridiplantae; Streptophyta; Magnoliopsida; Cucurbitales; Cucurbitaceae. The record is from RNAcentral.
CUUCAACCCCAACACACAUCAAAUAUAUAUUAAUUUUUAAAUUGAUUUUGUAUAAAAAAAAUCGGAUCAUACACAUAAUACACCAUACAAACAAAUUGUAUUAUUUUUUUCUAUUUAUGUAAAACAUGUAUUUUCAAAUUGUACCGUAAAUAUAAUACAAAAAGAAAGUUGUAUUUUAAAUUUGUAUCAUCAAUACUUACAAUAAAAAAUUGUAUUAUGUUGUUUUUACUUUUUUUUCUUAAUGGAAACUAUAAGCAACAUACUAUAGUAUAAGCAACAUACUAUAGAAAAAGACUAAUUCAUUUGGCACACAAAAAAGAAGAAGAAGAGAGUGUGAUUAAUUUGUUUGAGAAAGAAGAGAAAUAAAAUGAUUAAUUUGGAGAGAAUAAAUAAAUGAAGAAAGAGAAAGAAGAAAUAAAUGAGAAGAGAAGAAGGAGAAAGAAGAAAUAAAUGAGAAGAGAAAAAGGGGAAGAAAGAAAAUGAUUAUAUUGGAAAAUGUAAGGAUUAUAUUGAAAAAUGAAAGGAUUAAGUAAAUAAUAAAUGAGGAAAGAGAAUGAAUAAGAGGGAUUAAGGGUAGUAUUUUUCCACCCCUUAAUCCUCGAGCCAAACAAGUAAAAGACUAGAUAGUCUUUUCUUUUCCUUUCUCCAAACAACUCUUGAAAUUCUCCAACAAGCCGAUAACAAAGAGGUUUGUUGAUGAAUGAUGAUAAUCUCCUCAACUGAAUUUAAGGCAAGGAUUGAGGUGGAUUUGAGGGCACUCCAAAGAAAUUAAGGAAAAUGGGUGAGGGAACGAAGAACUAAAAAUACCUCAAAUUGUAUUUAAUUACCUCAAUUUCAUGUUUCUAUAAUUUCCUUUUUAUGGAACCUAAUUAUUAGGUUUAAACCUUAUUACUUUAGUUAGUCCAUUUUAAUAUUUUAUAUUCAAAUUAUUAAUUAUUUGAAUCCUAUUCAAAUCCAAUUCUUUUAUAUCUUAUUCUUUUAAUUUAAAUUUAAAUCUAAUGUUAGGAUAAUUGUCAUUAGCAACCAUCUUUAAAAAAUUAUAAAUAUAGCAAAAUUAUUACUAAUAAACUUGUAUGAUCCAUCAGUGAUAAACCAAUAUUUACAACAUAGUUUAAUAGAUUUCUGUCAUUGAUAGAAUUUGACAAAUUUUAUUAUAUUUGUAAUUUUUUUAAAAUGUUGCUAUAUAUUUAAUUAUUUAAAACUAACUAACUAUAUAUUGUAUUUAUUGUAGCUAAUAUAACUGAGGAUAGGUUUCCUUAACCUAACAACAUUUAAAAUUAUUCCUUCCAUACUUUCAUCCAUGUUGAUCUUAUGGACUAACGAAUUUAUAAGUUUCAAUGAUAUAUCUAAAUUAUUUCACCAUUUAUUAUACUUCAUUCAUUAAUUGUAAUGCAAAAAAUUGUAGUUCUAUAAUUUCAUUCUUACAUUAACACAAGUUGCGCGAACCAAUAUAACUAUUACAUACAAGUUGAUGUUUUAUGAGUUGUUCAUGAAUUUAAUUGGAUUAUAAGUUCAUGAAAAUAUUUGUUUAUGGUUCAACCAUAAACUAAGUUAUUCUCAAUCCAAUGAAAGAAUGAGACCCGAUUGUUUUCGUUCUAAAAUACAAAAAAUUGUUCUUAUAAAACUAAAAACAAAAUAUGGUUUGACUGUGUGUUUUGUUUUUGCAGAAUCAAAAUAAUUUAAGAUGAUUUUUAUGUUUUAUAUUUGGGUUUUAUAAAAAUAAAAUCAAAGCUGUUUUUACAACUUUUUCAUCAAAUAUAGUAAAUAAUUAUAAAGUUAUAUAUUUUUAAGUUAAAAAAUAGGUUAAUUUUCAUAAAUAUAACAAAAAC